Molecule: unclassified non-coding RNA, 243 nt
Filed under: uncultured fungus
Lineage: Eukaryota; Fungi
Description: partial contains 5.8S ribosomal RNA, internal transcribed spacer 2, and large subunit ribosomal RNA
Rfam family: 5.8S ribosomal RNA (bases 1-52)
Source: RNAcentral
AACGCACAUUGCGCCCCCUGGUAUUCCGGGGGGCAUGCCUGUUCGAGCGUCAUGUCACCAAUCAAGCAACGCUUGGUGUUGGAUGCGGUCCCGUCAAAAGGGCCCGUCCCAAAGGCAUGGGCGAGGACACCGACCCCCGGCGUGUUAGAAAUCUGAAACGUCGGGUGCACCGGUGGCCCUCUGCCGUCAAACUUUUUACCAAAGGUUGACCUCGGAUCAGGUAGGAAUACCCGCUGAACUUAA